GUUUGAACUUGAGAUUUUGCUGUUUUGUGAUCUUGAAUUUGUGUGGGUUUUUUUUAACUUGAGUUUUUGGUGUUUUUGAAUUUGAGUUUCUGUUGUUUUUGAACAUGAGGUUGUGGCAAUUUGUUAAACUUGAGAUUUGGGUGUUGGUUGAAAUUAAGUUUCGGCAUUUUUGAACUUGAGUUUGUGGUGUUUUUGAACUUGAAUUUGUGUGUUUUUUGAACCUGAGUUUGUUGAACUUGAGUUUUUGGCAAUUCUUUAAUGUUAAUAUAGGUUAUUUGUUGAAUUUGAAAUUUUGGCAUUUUUUGAACUUAAGCUUGUGGUGUUUGUUGAACUUGAGUUUGUGGCAAUUGUUAACAUUGAGUCUGUAUUUUUCUCUGAACAUUAGUUGGUGGCAAUUGUUGAACUUGAGUUCGUGUGUUUGUUGAACUUGAGUUUUUGUCGUUUAGAACUUGAGUUUGUGGUGUUUUUGAACUUGAGGUUUUGGCAAAUGUUAAACUUGAUAUUUGGGUGUUGUUUGAACUUGAGUUUGUGUCGUGUUUGAACUUGAGUUUGUGUCGUGUUUGAACUUGAGUUUGUGUCGUGUUUGAACUUGAGUUUGUGUCGUGUUUGAACUUGAGUUUGUGUCAUGUUUGAACUUGAGUGUUGUGUUUGAACUUGAGUUUGUUGCAAUUUUUGAACUUGAGUUUUGAACUUGAGUCUUUGGUUUUUAGUGAACUUUAUUUGGUGGCGUUUGUUGAACUUGAGUUUGUCGCGUGUUUGAACUUGAGUUUGUGUUGUUUUUUAACUUGAGGUUUUGGCAAUUGUUAAUCUUUAGAUUUGGGUGUUGGUUGAACUUAAAACUUUGACAUUUGUUGAACUUGACUUUGUGGUGUUCAUUUAACUUGAGUUUGUGGUGUUUUUGAACUUGAAUUUUUGUGUUUUUUUAACUUGAGUUUGUGGUGUUUUUGAACUUGAAUUUGUGUGUUUUUUGAACUUGAGGUUGUUGCAAUUUUUGAACUUGAGUUUGUUGAACUUGAGUUUUUGGCAAUUGUUAAAUGUGAGUUUAGGUCAUUUGUUGAAUUUGAAAUUUUGGCAUUUUUUGAACUUAAGAUUGUGGUGUUUGUUGAACUUGAGUUUGUGGCAAUUGUUGAACUUGAGUCUGUAUUUUUCCCUGAACUUUAGUUUGAAUUUUUGUGUGUUUUUUGAAUUUAAGUUUGUGGCAAUUGUUAAACUUGAGUUUGUGUGUUUGUUUAACUUGAGUUUGUGGCGUGUUUUGACUUGAGUUUCUGUUGUUUUUGAACUUGAGGUUGUGGCAAUUGUCAAACUUGAGAUUUGGGAUUUGGUUGAACUUGAGUUUGUGUCGUGUUUGAACUUUGGUUUGUGGUGCUUUUUAACUUGAGUUUGUGGCGGUGUUGAGCUUGAGUUUGUGGCGUGUUUUAACCUGAAUUUUUGUUGUUUUUCUUACUUGAGGCUUCGGCAAUUGUUAAACUUUAGAUUUGGGUGUUGGUUGAACUUAAAACUUUGACAUUUAUUGAACUUAUGUAUGUGGUGUUCAUUGAACUUCAGUUUUUGUCUUGUUUGAACUUGACUUUGUGGUGUUUUUGAACUUGAGUUGGUGGUGUUUUUGAACUUGAGUUGGUGGAAAUUGUUGAACUUGAGAAUUGGGUGUUGGUUGAACUUGAGUUUGUGGUGUUUUUGAACUUGAGUUUGAGUUUGUUUGUUUGUUGAACUUGAGUUCGUGGCGUGUUUGAACUUGAGUUUGUGUUCUUUUUGAACUUGAGGUUGUGGAAAUUGUUAAACUCGUCUCCUUGAGCCAUCAUGAAGGCGGAGGUGGCGGGGGUAGAGCAGCAAUGAACAAACCUCCCCUGGAACAGGAGCGCUUUAAGGACAGCGGAGCAAUUAGCUGGCACGAGGGUGGAGCUGGUGUGGCAGUGUGUUGCUGGUUUGCUGUCAGAGCAGAGGAAGAGGCUGGGUUAGUGCAGUUUUAAAUAAGGCACUCUAUAGGCAAAGAACCAAUAGGAUCUAGGUGUGAAUCAGCUGAUUAUCAUCUGGUUGAGGUGGCUACUAGCCAUUGGCUGUGGAUCAGCGCUUGACGUUGUGUCCUGACAGAACUAACGCUAUGCUUCAUUUCAGUCAGGUACACUUUGUCCAAAUUUUUAGCUUUAUUGUGCAAGUUAGAUUUGGCGGCAUGAUUCUGUUCCGGGUCCCUGCCCUUCCACGCGCUUGUGUGGAAGCCCAAGGCAGGAAGAGCCCCUUCCUGCCUUUCACGAGCCAUCAUGAAAGGCGAUAGCAGGGAGCGCACGCGAGGUUCUGUUCAGGGCCCCCGUUCUCCACGUUGGCAGGGGUGAAAGGCCAGCGGCAGGAAGAGCACCUUCCCGCCCUCCACGUGCCAUCAUGAAGGCGGAGGAGGCAGGGGUAGAGCAGCAAUGAACAGAACCCCCCCAAAACAACCAUGCCGUGCAGUCUAGGAGCUAGCAGGGGAGGUGAGCGCUGCUGAAAGAAAGACGGGUUAGAGAGACCCGUUGCCCAAGCAUGGAUAUUUAUCUGCAGGUUGUUUAUAUAUUUCAUUUAAUUAGCAUCUAUGUGCCAAAGUUAUGGGUACUCAUAGUUUUUGGGCUUCGAGAAUGUCCCGAGCCUCGGGGCGCAGAUAGCGUUUGUACGCAGCUGACGACUAUUGGCCCAUGGCUUUGAGGGUCGACACAGGAGCCGUCAUAGCUGCGGUUGUAGCUGCACCUAUGUGAAAGGAAUGAGCCGUGUAGCGAUCUGAAGGAUGUGUGGAGGGCGAUCAGCUAAGCUGUCAUCUGACUGAGGGCUAGCUUAAGAUCAGCUGGCUUUAACCUUUAGCUUGACUGUACCUUGUGUCCUGCCUGAACUACAGCCAUGCUUAAUUUCAGUCAGGACUACUUUAGUUAGAAUCAAUUAUUUAUUACUAGCAAAAUAUUUUUUAACAUUGUCGGUAUGGCUCUGUUCUGAGAGUUCCCUGCUCUCUCAUGCGCUUGCAUAGAAUCCCAAGGCAAUGAGAGGGAAUGCCCUCCCCUCCCUUUCAUGUGCAUAUAUGAAAAGCCAAGGCAGAAAAAGCAGCAGCCAUACUGGCAACCCUCCCCAGCUUUCAUGAGCUACAUGAAGGCACCUACAGGGGAGGGAGGGCAGCCAGCAGCGAGAAACUAUGAAGCAACCUACCCACCUACAAAGCUUGCAUAGUAUUGGUUACCCUCACAACAUGAUCAUGGAUCAGGAUUAAUUUAAUCCAUACACAAAUUUAUAGUUGGGAAUAUGCGUAAUGCAAUAGAUAUGGGAAAGAAUUAAGGAGCAGCAGCAAUUUUUUUUUUGUAGCUAAUCGAGCAUAGGAAUAUUCUAAUAAUAAUAAUAUAUUAGCCUUGGGCCUGAGGUAUCAUUCAAAGGCUGAUCGGGACCAUUGACCCGUGGCCCUGAGCGUCGAGACGGGGACGAUGGAAGAUGCAGUUGUAGCUGUGCCUAUGCGUGGUGAAUGCGUAGAGUUGUACUCAGGUAGGAGCCAACAGGAUUGGCCGAGCAGGCAGAGGUGAGCAGAAAGCUGCAAUCUGGAUAUAGGUUUCCCUUCUUCAGUGGCAAAGAGAGACUCUUGCUGGCUGGCCAGUGGCCGGCCUCUCAGGCAGCGGGACAUGGAGGAUAAAGAACAAAGACAGAGUUAGUUUUGGAAAUAUUAGAAAAAAAAAAAGUGCGAGAUUCAAAACUGUGGACUAUUAAAGCACAUACAAUGGAUAUAUUUAGGGCGUUGGGGCUACAGAGAAGGUGGUACAAAAGAGGUAAAGUGAGACCAUGCAGAAUCGUAUAAACUUUAAUGCUGAUUUUGCUUAACCAGCUCUCAAGUAGCUGUCAACAGAGAGCACUAAGGAUUGCAAGGCUGCACUCAGACUAACACAGUCUGAAUGAAUGGCUUCACGAACAGCCGUUGGGAUGCUUUGCCAGUGCCUUCCCCGGCUCAAGGACAUUUGACAGAGUAGACAGCUUUGUUUUUUCCCGUUUUACCAGGUGGGUGCGUCAUGGGCAUGCUGAUUUCAGAUGCCCGUCCCUGGAGUAACUUGGCUUCUCCGAGUAGUAGGCUUAGAGAGGCUUGGGUGGUUGGCCUGUAGCCACAGUUUUAGGGCACCGAUUAGAGGUGUGGGCAGGGGUGGACAAGGUAGGAUAAGGUUCCUCCAGGUACUGUACCCGUAGACUUUGUACAAGAGGAGCACACCCAAGUUAAGCGAGUUGCUGACUCCGAUGCCACAGUAUCAUCAUCUGCUGUAUCUCUCUCUUAAACAUAAAAUUAUUAUUAUUAUUAUUAUUAUUAUUAUUAUUAUUAUUAUUAUUAUUUUCCUCUGCAUUUUGUCUUAUUUCUGCAUUAAGAUUGAAGCAGCUGACUCUUUAAAAGUUCCCUCCUUCCGCAAAAGGCGGAAGGCGGGCCCCUGCACCUAGGCAACCAGCGUCCAAUCAAAAGUGCGCACUGGUGCUCCCACUUGGAGUUUAUUUGUAAGCAAAUACCACUCACUCUCAAGCGGCAUGGUCCUAUUGGAUUACUUCGGUUAUAACGCAGAGUGCAGACUGAUGUGCAGCAACAGACUAAGCCUAGAUACAUGACAGGGGUGAAAACUUUAAACAGCUGAUUAUGUCUUCCCGAAAUGGCGUACUGCUGCGUAAUGGCUUACUUUCACCUCCAGGUGAGAGAAACACCCGCAGAUUAAGCAGGAAAAAGCUUGAUGCUCGGUGAAUUGUUAACUGAUUAGAGCCAGGUCGACUACGGACUGAUCAAGUCUUUGGCUGAAUCUUUGAAUGUACUUAGCAGCUUUGCUGAAAAUGAUUUGUAAUGUUCCUAGAAUAAUGAUCCUCCCUAUGUCAUGGCUGAAUCAGAAAUAAUGGCAAGAUAUGUGUCCAGUUCAGUUCUGCGUGCUGAAAACAAUUUACAUAUGACAUCUACAAAUACGCUGAAAGCUAUGAAUUCAGCCAAGGUCGGAGAUUUAAACAGCCGGGCAUCACGAUAUUUAAGCAUCACAGGCUCAUCUCCGCAAUCCACAAUGCGUCUAUCAUUGUAGUCUGAGCACAGCAAGACUAAUGUCAGUACCUGCAAGGAUUUGGCUCCGCGGAUUAGGUGUAAUUGCAGCCGCGACCAGGUCGCGUCGCGUGGCGCUCUGGUGUGUUCACACCGGGUCCAAAGCUGCGGUCGCAGGACACGGCUGGUCGCUGCUGACCCGCUUCUCCUACCUUCCAUCUCCCUCCUUUUCUCCCUCAUAUAUACAUCCCGCAGCCCAGUUCAAAUAUUUGAACUUUGGGAGCGACGAGACUUGGCGUCCUGCGACCUCGGAAACGCAACUUCGGCAACGCGACGCAGGUAGCCAGCGGUCGCCAAGUCGCGUCAGGUCGCGGCUGUCCAUAGACUUUGCAUUGGGAGCCAUCGCCGACGUCACCGAAGUCGCGUUUGGUCUGAACACCCCUUAACGCUAAGC
This 5441-nucleotide long non-coding RNA is filed under the name Xyrichtys novacula (pearly razorfish). Lineage: Eukaryota; Metazoa; Chordata; Actinopteri; Labriformes; Labridae. The record is from RNAcentral.